CGCUAUCACUCCUACGGGAGGCAGCAGUGGGGAAUAUUGCGCAAUGGGGGCAACCCUGACGCAGCCAUGCCGCGUGAAUGAAGAAGGCCUUCGGGUUGUAAAGUUCUUUCGGUAGCGAGGAAGGCACUUAGUUUAAUAGACUAGGUGAUUGACGUUAACUACAGAAGAAGCACCGGCUAACUCCGUGCCAGCAGCCGCGGUAAUACGGAGGGUGCGAGCGUUAAUCGGAAUAACUGGGCGUAAAGGGCACGCAGGCGGACUUUUAAGUGAGGUGUGAAAGCCCCCGGGCUUAACCUGGGAAUUGCAUUUCAGACUGGGAGUCUAGAGUACUUUAGGGAGGGUAGAAUUCCACGUGUAGCGGUGAAAUGCGUAGAGAUGUGGAGGAAUACCGAAGGCGAAGGCAGCCCCUUGGGAAUGUACUGACGCUCAUGUGCGAAAGCGUGGGGAGCAAACAGGAUUAGAUACCCUGGUAG
RNAcentral lists this ribosomal RNA (473 nucleotides) under uncultured bacterium. Its description in RNAcentral is "bacterial SSU rRNA". It matches the Rfam family "Bacterial small subunit ribosomal RNA", at positions 328 to 793 of the family's 1533-position model. The record is from RNAcentral.